This 497-nucleotide ribosomal RNA is filed under the name uncultured bacterium. Its description in RNAcentral is "partial 16S ribosomal RNA". It matches the Rfam family "Bacterial small subunit ribosomal RNA", at positions 28 to 507 of the family's 1533-position model. The record is from RNAcentral.
GAUGAACGCUGGCGGCGUGCCUAAUACAUGCAAGUCGAGCGAACAGACGAGGAGCUUGCUCCUCUGACGUUAGCGGCGGACGGGUGAGUAACACGUGGAUACCCUACCUAUAAGACUGGGAUAACUUCGGGAAACCGGAGCUAAUACCGGAUAAUAUAUUGAACCGCAUGGUUCAAUAGUGAAAGACGGUUUUGCUGUCACUUAUAGAUGGAUCCGCGCCGCAUUAGCUAGUUGGUAAGGUAACGGCUUACCAAGGCAACGAUGCGUAGCCGACCUGAGAGGGUGAUCGGCCACACUGGAACUGAGACACGGUCCAGACUCCUACGGGAGGCAGCAGUAGGGAAUCUUCCGCAAUGGGCGAAAGCUUGACGGAGCAACGCCGCGUGAGUGAUGAAGGUCUUCGGAUCGUAAAACUCUGUUAUUAGUGAAGAACAAAUGUGUAAGUAACUAUGCACGUCUUGACGGUACCUAAUCAGAAAGCCACGGCUAACUACGUG